CACGUAGGUGGCCUGUUAAGUCGGGUGUGAAAGCCCUCGGCUCAACCGAGGAAGUGCAUUCGAAACUAGCAGGCUUGAGUAUGGAAGAGGGUCGUGGAAUUCCCGGUGUAGAGGUGAAAUUCGUAGAUAUCGGGAGGAACACCAGUGGCGAAGGCGGCGACCUGGGCCAAUACUGACACUGAGGUGCGAAAGCGUGGGGGAGAAAC
This 206-nucleotide ribosomal RNA is filed under the name uncultured bacterium. RNAcentral describes it as "partial 16S ribosomal RNA". It matches the Rfam family "Bacterial small subunit ribosomal RNA", at positions 568 to 773 of the family's 1533-position model. The record is from RNAcentral.